UUUUAUAGGAAAAUAUUGGGUUUUUAUAGGAAAUGUUGGCUUUUUACAGGGAUAAACUUAGAUUUUUACAAGGAAUAAUCAUUUUAUUUUUUUUAAUUUCUUUUGUUUUUUUUAGAAUUCAUUUUAAUUUUUCUAAUAAAAAUGGGAAUCAGGGUUUUUACAAGAAAAAUCAACUUUUUUUCAUUUUAAUUUCUUUUUUUAAAAUAAAUUUUAGUUGUUUCAGGUAAAAAGGGAAAAACUAGGUUUUAUGGGGAAUUACUUGGGUUUCUA
Molecule: long non-coding RNA, 270 nt
Filed under: Gossypium raimondii (Peruvian cotton)
Lineage: Eukaryota; Viridiplantae; Streptophyta; Magnoliopsida; Malvales; Malvaceae
Description: long non-coding RNA (GRAI_LNC000131)
Source: RNAcentral